RNAcentral lists this ribosomal RNA (2902 nucleotides) under Klebsiella pneumoniae. RNAcentral's name for it is "23S ribosomal RNA". It matches the Rfam family "Bacterial large subunit ribosomal RNA". Lineage: Bacteria; Pseudomonadati; Pseudomonadota; Gammaproteobacteria; Enterobacterales; Enterobacteriaceae. RNAcentral also lists the same sequence under 1 other name. The record is from RNAcentral.
GGUUAAGCGACUAAGCGUACACGGUGGAUGCCCUGGCAGUCAGAGGCGAUGAAGGACGUGCUAAUCUGCGAAAAGCGUCGGUAAGGUGAUAUGAACCGUUACAGCCGGCGAUGUCCGAAUGGGGAAACCCAGUGCAAUUCGUUGCACUAUCGUUAACUGAAUACAUAGGUUAACGAGGCGAACCGGGGGAACUGAAACAUCUAAGUACCCCGAGGAAAAGAAAUCAACCGAGAUUCCCCCAGUAGCGGCGAGCGAACGGGGAGCAGCCCAGAGUCUGAAUCAGCUUGUGUGUUAGUGGAACGGUCUGGAAAGUCCGACGGUACAGGGUGAUAGUCCCGUACACCAAAAUGCACAGGUUGUGAACUCGAAGAGUAGGGCGGGACACGUGGUAUCCUGUCUGAAUAUGGGGGGACCAUCCUCCAAGGCUAAAUACUCCUGACUGACCGAUAGUGAACCAGUACCGUGAGGGAAAGGCGAAAAGAACCCCGGCGAGGGGAGUGAAAAAGAACCUGAAACCGUGUACGUACAAGCAGUGGGAGCACCUUCGGGUGUGACUGCGUACCUUUUGUAUAAUGGGUCAGCGACUUAUAUUCUGUAGCAAGGUUAACCGUAUAGGGGAGCCGCAGGGAAACCGAGUCUUAACUGGGCGUUAAGUUGCAGGGUAUAGACCCGAAACCCGGUGAUCUAGCCAUGGGCAGGUUGAAGGUUGGGUAACACUAACUGGAGGACCGAACCGACUAAUGUUGAAAAAUUAGCGGAUGACUUGUGGCUGGGGGUGAAAGGCCAAUCAAACCGGGAGAUAGCUGGUUCUCCCCGAAAGCUAUUUAGGUAGCGCCUCGUGAACUCAUCUUCGGGGGUAGAGCACUGUUUCGGCUAGGGGGUCAUCCCGACUUACCAACCCGAUGCAAACUACGAAUACCGAAGAAUGUUAUCACGGGAGACACACGGCGGGUGCUAACGUCCGUCGUGAAGAGGGAAACAACCCAGACCGCCAGCUAAGGUCCCAAAGUCAUGGUUAAGUGGGAAACGAUGUGGGAAGGCACAGACAGCCAGGAUGUUGGCUUAGAAGCAGCCAUCAUUUAAAGAAAGCGUAAUAGCUCACUGGUCGAGUCGGCCUGCGCGGAAGAUGUAACGGGGCUAAACCAUGCACCGAAGCUGCGGCAGCGACACUAUGUGUUGUUGGGUAGGGGAGCGUUCUGUAAGCCUGCGAAGGUGUGCUGUGAGGCAUGCUGGAGGUAUCAGAAGUGCGAAUGCUGACAUAAGUAACGAUAAAGCGGGUGAAAAGCCCGCUCGCCGGAAGACCAAGGGUUCCUGUCCAACGUUAAUCGGGGCAGGGUGAGUCGACCCCUAAGGCGAGGCCGAAAGGCGUAGUCGAUGGGAAACAGGUUAAUAUUCCUGUACUUGGUGUUACUGCGAAGGGGGGACGGAGAAGGCUAUGUUAGCCGGGCGACGGUUGUCCCGGUUUAAGCAUGUAGGCUGGUUAUCCAGGCAAAUCCGGAUAAUCAAGGCUGAGGUGUGAUGACGAGGCACUACGGUGCUGAAGUAACAAAUGCCCUGCUUCCAGGAAAAGCCUCUAAGCAUCAGGUAACAUCAAAUCGUACCCCAAACCGACACAGGUGGUCAGGUAGAGAAUACCAAGGCGCUUGAGAGAACUCGGGUGAAGGAACUAGGCAAAAUGGUGCCGUAACUUCGGGAGAAGGCACGCUGGUGUGUAGGUGAAGUCCCUGCGGAUGGAGCUGAGACCAGUCGAAGAUACCAGCUGGCUGCAACUGUUUAUUAAAAACACAGCACUGUGCAAACACGAAAGUGGACGUAUACGGUGUGACGCCUGCCCGGUGCCGGAAGGUUAAUUGAUGGGGUUAUCCGUAAGGAGAAGCUCUUGAUCGAAGCCCCGGUAAACGGCGGCCGUAACUAUAACGGUCCUAAGGUAGCGAAAUUCCUUGUCGGGUAAGUUCCGACCUGCACGAAUGGCGUAAUGAUGGCCAGGCUGUCUCCACCCGAGACUCAGUGAAAUUGAACUCGCUGUGAAGAUGCAGUGUACCCGCGGCAAGACGGAAAGACCCCGUGAACCUUUACUAUAGCUUGACACUGAACAUUGAGCCUUGAUGUGUAGGAUAGGUGGGAGGCUUUGAAGCGUGGACGCCAGUCUGCGUGGAGCCAACCUUGAAAUACCACCCUUUAAUGUUUGAUGUUCUAACGUUGGCCCCUGACCGGGGUUGCGGACAGUGUCUGGUGGGUAGUUUGACUGGGGCGGUCUCCUCCCAAAGCGUAACGGAGGAGCACGAAGGUUAGCUAAUCCUGGUCGGACAUCAGGAGGUUAGUGCAAUGGCAUAAGCUAGCUUGACUGCGAGCGUGACGGCGCGAGCAGGUGCGAAAGCAGGUCAUAGUGAUCCGGUGGUUCUGAAUGGAAGGGCCAUCGCUCAACGGAUAAAAGGUACUCCGGGGAUAACAGGCUGAUACCGCCCAAGAGUUCAUAUCGACGGCGGUGUUUGGCACCUCGAUGUCGGCUCAUCACAUCCUGGGGCUGAAGUAGGUCCCAAGGGUAUGGCUGUUCGCCAUUUAAAGUGGUACGCGAGCUGGGUUUAGAACGUCGUGAGACAGUUCGGUCCCUAUCUGCCGUGGGCGCUGGAGAAUUGAGGGGGGCUGCUCCUAGUACGAGAGGACCGGAGUGGACGCAUCACUGGUGUUCGGGUUGUCAUGCCAAUGGCACUGCCCGGUAGCUAAAUGCGGAAGAGAUAAGUGCUGAAAGCAUCUAAGCACGAAACUUGCCCCGAGAUGAGUUCUCCCUGAGACUAUAAGUCUCCUGAAGGAACGUUGAAGACGACGACGUUGAUAGGCCGGGUGUGUAAGCGCAGCGAUGCGUUGAGCUAACCGGUACUAAUGAACCGUGAGGCUUAACCUU